Molecule: ribosomal RNA, 253 nt
Filed under: uncultured bacterium
Lineage: Bacteria
Description: partial 16S ribosomal RNA
Rfam family: Bacterial small subunit ribosomal RNA
Source: RNAcentral
UACAGAGGUCCCAAGCGUUGUUCGGAUUCAUUGGGCGUAAAGGGUGCGUAGGCGGCGCGGUAAGUCGGGUGUGAAAUCUCGGAGCUUAACUCCGAAACUGCAUUCGAUACUGCCGUGCUUGAGGACUGGAGAGGAGACUGGAAUUUACGGUGUAGCGGUGAAAUGCGUAGAUAUCGUAAGGAAGACCAGUGGCGAAGGCGGGUCUCUGGACAGUUCCUGACGCUGAGGCACGAAGGCUAGGGGAGCAAACAGG